CUAGUACUCCCUCCGUCCGAAAAUACUUGUCUUUAAAAUGGUUGUAUCUAGACUUAUUUUAGUUAUAAAUACGUUCAUUUUAUUUCGAGGACAAGUAUUUUCGGACGGAAGGAGUAUCAA
Molecule: non-coding RNA, 120 nt
Organism: Triticum aestivum (bread wheat)
Lineage: Eukaryota; Viridiplantae; Streptophyta; Magnoliopsida; Poales; Poaceae
Source: Rfam